AUGCCGGCCCCCCGCGUGUUGUUUGACGAAAUGCCAACCUCAACGCCGACGGUGGACGACCCCUUCUACAACCAGUACAUGGAGGACGUGAUCUUCCAGGGUGGGCAUGGCCGUGCCUACGACCCUGAGGAGACCCAAAGUCAGGAUGGCCGCGCCCAGUACGUGCCUGAUGAAGAGGCCGACGACCGUGCUGACUACGACCAUGGUGAUUCGUGGCAUGAAGACGAUGACAUCUAUGUCGAAGGUGAAGAUGAAGAUGAAGCCAAUGAUGUUGAUAUUAGUGGCGCUCCAUUUUUCAUAGACGAGCUCACCCAAAGAGCGGAAGCACAAAAGAAGCGGAAGAGCAUUCGCACCGGUUCAUAUACACAAGAUGAGGACAAGUUGAUUUGCCAAUGUUGGAUGGAGAUUAGCCAAGAUCCAAGGACCGACGCGCAACAAAAGGGCAUUGUUUUUUGGACGAGAGUCCACAAAACAUUCCAUGAAAGGAAGAUGUUUGAGCCCUACCAAAUUACAAGCAACCGUGGCAUCGGUUCGAUUCAAAAAAGACGGUUGUUCAUCCAACAAGAGUGCAACAAGUAUUGUGUCGCAUUUGAGAGCGUUGAAGCACGGCCCGUGAGUGGUCUCGGCGUUGGGGACAUGGUAUGCUCUUCUCUUUCUAGCCCUUUCCUUGUUACGGCCAUGAUACUUCGGCCGUGUAUAUGUUUGCAUGUUCACUUGCUGUUGGUCAUGUGGUGUAGGCAUUUCAAUCUUUGGAGGCAUUCAAGGCCCGGCACAAUGACAAGCCAUUUACUCUGA
This 795-nucleotide ribosomal RNA is filed under the name Triticum aestivum (bread wheat). RNAcentral's name for it is "partial small subunit ribosomal RNA". The record is from RNAcentral. Lineage: Eukaryota; Viridiplantae; Streptophyta; Magnoliopsida; Poales; Poaceae.